ACUGAGUUUAUGAACUUACUGGUGGAGCAGUCUCUAGUGAUGACGGGCGACUGGGGCAUGGCCUUGAGAGUGGUACCAAAAGACUGAGAUUCUUUCUCCCUGAAAGGUCUGUGAUGGUGCCUGUGUUGAAAAUGCUUUCAUGUUAGUUGUGUACACACAUUUCAUCUGUAUCCCUGUUUCUUUUCUCCCUACAGAAACAUAUGAGGAUUUUGAUACCAGGAUACUUGAGGUUUUGCUAUUGGGAAAGCCACUGAUCGGAUGGAUGCUUUCAGGAAAGCAAAGAACAGAGCAGUUCACCAUUUGUAUUAUAUAGAACGAUAUGAAGACCAUACAAUAUUCCAUGAUAUUUCAUUAAGAUUUAAAAGGACGCAUAUCAAGAUGAAGAAACAACCCAAAGGUUACGGCCUCCGCUGCCACAGGGCCAUCAUCACCAUCUGCCGGCUCAUUGGCAUCAAAGACAUGUAUGCCAAGGUCUCUGGGUCCACUAAUAUGCUCAGCCUCACCCAGGGCCUCUUCCAUGGGCUCUCCAGACAGGAAACCCAUCAACAGCUGGCUGAUAAGAAGGGCCUCCAUGUUGUGGAAAUCCGAGAGGAAUGUGGCCCUCUGCCCAUUGUGGUUGCCUCCCCCCGGGGGGCCUUGAGGAAGGAUCCAGAGCCAGAUGAGGUUCCAGACAUCAAACUGGACUGGGAAGACGUGAAGACUGCAC
Molecule: small RNA, 706 nt
Filed under: Pongo abelii (Sumatran orangutan)
Lineage: Eukaryota; Metazoa; Chordata; Mammalia; Primates; Hominidae
Description: retained intron
Source: RNAcentral